ACAGGUCAGCUGGCAGAUUUCUCCAGAUUCUUGCCAGCAGCAGCAGAAAAAUCAUAUCACUUCUUCAACACACUAAAGAAGUCGGACCAGUUCAAUUGGACAGAAGAAUGUGAAGAAGCCUUCAUAAAAUUCAAGAAUACCCUAGGAUCACCACCUAUAUUAAAAAAGCCAGAGCAAGGUAAGCCGUUAUAUCUUUUCCUUUCGGUUUCAACUAACACAAUAAGUUUAGUACUUGUAACAGAAAACGACAAGGAGCAACACCCAGUAUAUUUCGUGAGCAAAGUUUUGCAGGGUGCUGAAACAAGGUACCCAAUGAUAGAAAAACUAGCAUUUGUACUUAUCAUCACAGCUCGGAGGCUGCGUCACUACUUCCAAGGAUACCGAAUUAUUGUUCGGACCAACCAACCACUACGGUAAAUCCUAGCGAGACCCGACCUGGCAGGAAGGCUCACAAAGUGGUCGGUCGAGCUCUCAGAAUUCAACAUCACAUAUCAGUCCAGGGGAUCCCCCAGGGCCCAAGCUCUAGCCGAUUUCAUAUCAGAGUUCACAAGUAUAGUAGAGGAACAAGAGUCAAGGGAAUUGUAUGUAGAUGGAGCAUCCAAUGACAAUGGGUGUGGAGUAGGUAAACUACUAAGAGACAGCAAAGGCGUACAUGUCGAACAAUCAAUCAAAUUCAUGUUCCAAACAACAAAUAACCAAGCCGAGUAUGAGGUGCUACUGGCAGGGUUAAGACUAGCAAAAGAAAUCCAAGUGCUGAACUUGCAGGUUAUUACUGGCCGACCUUCAGAUCGGACUGCACAGAUAAAGUUCGAAGAUGUGAGUCAUGUCAAAAGUGUUCGCCAUUAAUACACAGCCAGGCCGAGGCAUUACACAUGACCGACGCCAGCUGGCCCUUUCACAGGUGGGGCAUGGACAUCCUCAGACCACUCCCAAUAUCACCAGGACAGGUAAAGUUCCUUUUGGUGGCUAUUGAUUAUUUCACAAACUGGAUAGAAGCACAGCCACUCGCAAAAAUAACCUCGGACAAGGUACAAAAGUUUAUUUGGAAAUUUAUCAUUUGUAGAUAUGGUUUGCCAAGAGAAAUUGUUUCCGAUAACGGUAGGCAGUUUAGUGUCAAAAAAUUAUCACUUUUCUAACUAACAUGAAUAUUAGACACCAUUUUUCCUCUGUCGAGCACCCACAAACUAACGGGCUUGCAGAGGCCGCUAAUAAAGUGAUUUUGCAGGCUCUUAAGAAGAAACUGAUCGAUACUAAAGGCCAUUGGGCCGAACUCAUACCAGAAAUAUUGUGGAGCUAUAACACAACUCCACAAUCCACAACAAAGGAGAGCCCUUUCCGUUUAGUGUAUGCAGCUGAAUGUAUGAUUCCUUUAGAGCUUGCUUAUGGCUCAACCCGGACCGAACAAUUCAAUGAAGACGCCAACAGGCAAGCUCGGUUCGCUGAGCUUGAUGUCAUUGAUGAAGAACGCCACCUCACAGAACUGAGGCAAAGAUCGAUGCAAUCAGUAAUGAAGCGUCAAUACGACAAGAAAGUCAGAUAAAGAACAUUUGAAGAAGGAGACCUAGUGCUCAGACAACUAGAAGAUAUCCGAAAACCGCCAUGUCAUGAAAAAUUAGCGUCAUCAUGGGAAGGACUUUUCCGGAUUGCUAAAGUAGUCGGCAAAGGAGCCUAUCGCCUAGAAACAUUGAAUGGAACAACCUUGCCAAACACAUGGAACAUCUCGUCACUCAAGUACUACUAUAGCUUAUCACUUUACUGUAAUAAGUAGGAUGGCCAGGUACUCUUUUUCCUAACCACGAGGUUUUUCCCUAAGGAGGGUUUACUCAGGUAGGUUUUAACGAGGCCGACCAUCCUACAAACCCCAAACAUGAGGAACAAUUUCAAAUGGCAUAUAUUCACUAUAUUAUUCAUUCA
Arachis duranensis is the source of this 1914-nucleotide long non-coding RNA. RefSeq lists it as uncharacterized. NCBI's taxonomy places the organism in Eukaryota, Viridiplantae, Streptophyta, Magnoliopsida, Fabales, Fabaceae. The record is from RefSeq and is a predicted model, not a curated record. The transcript is spliced from 2 exons.